GUUUAUGGACACACCACCCUAAAUGACCCCAAUCCCAUCUGAUCUUGGAAGCUAAGCAGGGUCGGGCCUGGUUAGUACUUGGAUGGGAGACUACCUAGAAAGAUCAGAUGCUGUAGGUG
Molecule: non-coding RNA, 119 nt
Organism: Pteropus alecto (black flying fox)
Lineage: Eukaryota; Metazoa; Chordata; Mammalia; Chiroptera; Pteropodidae
Source: Rfam